UCCAGACUCCUACGGGAGGCAGCAGUGGGGAAUAUUGCACAAUGGGGGAAACCCUGAUGCAGCGACGCCGCGUGAGCGAAGAAGUAUUUCGGUAUGUAAAGCUCUAUCAGCAGGGAAGAAAAAAAUGACGGUACCUGAGUAAGAAGCACCGGCUAAAUACGUGCCAGCAGCCGCGGUAAUACGUAUGGUGCAAGCGUUAUCCGGAUUUACUGGGUGUAAAGGGAGCGUAGGCGGCGCGUUAAGUCUGAUGUGAAAACCCGAGGCUCAACCACGGGAGUGCAUUGGAAACUGGCGGGCUGGAGUGCCGGAGAGGUAAGCGGAAUUCCUAGUGUAGCGGUGAAAUGCGUAGAUAUUAGGAGGAACACCAGUGGCGAAGGCGGCUUACUGGACGGCAACUGACGCUGAGGCUCGAAAGCGUGGGGAGCAAACAGGAUUAGAUACCCGCGUA
This 448-nucleotide ribosomal RNA is filed under the name uncultured bacterium. Its description in RNAcentral is "bacterial SSU rRNA". It matches the Rfam family "Bacterial small subunit ribosomal RNA", at positions 330 to 792 of the family's 1533-position model. The record is from RNAcentral.